Molecule: transfer RNA, 73 nt
Filed under: Loxodonta africana (African savanna elephant)
Lineage: Eukaryota; Metazoa; Chordata; Mammalia; Proboscidea; Elephantidae
Rfam family: tRNA
About the family: Transfer RNA (tRNA) molecules are approximately 80 nucleotides in length. Their secondary structure includes four short double-helical elements and three loops (D, anti-codon, and T loops). Further hydrogen bonds mediate the characteristic L-shaped molecular structure. tRNAs have two regions of fundamental functional importance: the anti-codon, which is responsible for specific mRNA codon recognition, and the 3' end, to which the tRNAs corresponding amino acid is attached (by aminoacyl-tRNA synthetases). tRNAs cope with the degeneracy of the genetic code in two manners: having more than one tRNA (with a specific anti-codon) for a particular amino acid; and 'wobble' base-pairing, i.e. permitting non-standard base-pairing at the 3rd anti-codon position.
Source: Rfam by way of RNAcentral
CCUUGUGUGAUGCAAAUGGUUAAGCUCUUGGCUGCUAACCAAAAGGUUGGUGGUUCAAACCCACCCAGAGGCA